RNAcentral lists this unclassified non-coding RNA (946 nucleotides) under Hevea brasiliensis (rubber tree). The record is from RNAcentral. Lineage: Eukaryota; Viridiplantae; Streptophyta; Magnoliopsida; Malpighiales; Euphorbiaceae.
GAGAAUUUAAACUGUUACAAUAUAUGGUCCCAUGGGGACGUCUGAGUCCUAACAUAUCAUAUGUAAUUGCAAGGAGCUUCAUAAUCUGUUGUUGGUGAUGCCCUCUGUUGGCCUUAAUAUUCCAAUACCCUGUGCAUAUAUCAUCUUGGUUUUUGUACACAUCAUGACAAGACAAUUAAACACAAUAUCUUGGGUCCAGGUUCACCUGAAUUAUGAGAAGAUACUCAUUCAAAUUAAGAUUUUCUAGAUGGAAUUUUCCAUCAUUGAUCAUCAUCACUACCAUGAAAUGGGAACGAACGGUAAGACAACUAAUGGAAGCCACUACAAAUGGUGAAUGUUGUAGUUUCAUUGCAUAAUGGUCACAAAUCCAUUACGCAACUCGCGCUCAUAAAAAUGGCUUCACAGCUCACAAGACGCAAAUACAACAAAUAGACACAAACUAGAGACCUCUGUUACAUAGUUUACAUCUCCUACAAAUACAAAACAAUCCCUCUGACUUAAAACAGCAAUCUCAGGCCAUUAAUAGGGUCAAAAUCUAUUUUUCACAGUUGUUUCACCUGUUUCUAUUUUUUUAACAGUUUCAUUUUUCAAAGGUAACAAUUAGUAAGAGCCAUGAAUCUGCGUAGUCAUCAGAAGAGUCGAAGUUCGCAGGGUUUUGCCAGCAAGAUUGCCACACAUUGAGCAAUGCAAAAUGGUAAGACUUGAAAAUUAUCAUAUCCUGGGAUUCAUUGUUGAACCUUGUAAAAGUGGUCAUGACUUUUGACUCCCAAGGAGAUCACCUCAUUACUGACUCUUUUACAAAGGACCGACCACCAGAAGUGUAUUCAAGGUGAAUAUUCAUGAAUCUACGGUUUUCUUUGCUUUGUGAUAGUGUCACUAAACCUUCAAUCAGUUGAUCUUGCUCCACUUCUACUGGAUCAUAGAAGUAUAUCACUGUCUGCUGCCA